GACGAACGCUGGCGGCGUGCUUAACACAUGCAAGUCGAACGGAAAGGCCCUGCUUUUGUGGGGUGCUCGAGUGGCGAACGGGUGAGUAACACGUGAGUAACCUGCCCUUGACUUUGGGAUAACUUCAGGAAACUGGGGCUAAUACCGGAUAGGAGCUCCUGCUGCAUGGUGGGGGUUGGAAAGUUUCGGCGGUUGGGGAUGGACUCGCGGCUUAUCAGCUUGUUGGUGGGGUAGUGGCUUACCAAGGCUUUGACGGGUAGCCGGCCUGAGAGGGUGACCGGCCACAUUGGGACUGAGAUACGGCCCAGACUCCUACGGGAGGCAGCAGUGGGGAAUAUUGCACAAUGGGCGGAAGCCUGAUGCAGCAACGCCGCGUGCGGGAUGACGGCCUUCGGGUUGUAAACCGCUUUCGCCUGUGACGAAGCGUGAGUGACGGUAAUGGGUAAAGAAGCACCGGCUAACUACGUGCCAGCAGCCGCGGUGAUACGUAGGGUGCGAGCGUUGUCCGGAUUUAUUGGGCGUAAAGGGCUCGUAGGUGGUUGAUCGCGUCGGAAGUGUAAUCUUGGGGCUUAACCCUGAGCGUGCUUUCGAUACGGGUUGACUUGAGGAAGGUAGGGGAGAAUGGAAUUCCUGGUGGAGCGGUGGAAUGCGCAGAUAUCAGGAGGAACACCAGUGGCGAAGGCGGUUCUCUGGGCCUUUCCUGACGCUGAGGAGCGAAAGCGUGGGGAGCGAACAGGCUUAGAUACCCUGGUAGUCCACGCUGUAAACGGUGGGUACUAGGUGUGGGGUCCAUUCCACGGGUUCCGUGCCGUAGCUAACGCUUUAAGUACCCCGCCUGGGGAGUACGGCCGCAAGGCUAAAACUCAAAGGAAUUGACGGGGCCCCGCACAAGCGGCGGAGCAUGCGGAUUAAUUCGAUGCAACGCGUAGAACCUUACCUGGGUUUGACAUGGAUCGGAAGCGCUCAGAGAUGGGUGUGCCUCUUUUGGGGUCGGUUCACAGGUGGUGCAUGGCUGUCGUCAGCUCGUGUCGUGAGAUGUUGGGUUAAGUCCCGCAACGAGCGCAACCCUUGUUCACUGUUGCCAGCACGUUAUGGUGGGGACUCAGUGGAGACCGCCGGGGUCAACUCGGAGGAAGGUGGGGAUGACGUCAAGUCAUCAUGCCCCUUAUGUCAGGGCUUCACGCAUGCUACAAUGGCUGGUACAGAGAGUGGCGAGCCUGUGAGGGUGAGCGAAUCUCGGAAAGCCGGUCUCAGUUCGGAUUGGGGUCUGCAACUCGACCUCAUGAAGUCGGAGUCGCUAGUAAUCGCAGAUCAGCAACGCUGCGGUGAAUACGUUCCCGGGGCU
This 1345-nucleotide ribosomal RNA is filed under the name uncultured bacterium. RNAcentral describes it as "bacterial SSU rRNA". It matches the Rfam family "Bacterial small subunit ribosomal RNA", at positions 28 to 1381 of the family's 1533-position model. The record is from RNAcentral.